CCUACGCUGCCCAUAACAAAGUUACUUGAUGCGAUUACGAACUGUUAAUGCGAGAAGAACCUUUCCCAUUUCCUCGACCAAACCCUAGUUCUUACUCAUGAUGAUCAUCCCAAUCUCCAUCUCCAUCUUAAAAUUCCUCUGAAUUUUCCCUAAAAAUCACUAUCGUUUUCAAUUAUUUCUUUUCCCAUAGCCAUGGAAUCGAACUCGAACCCUAAUUCGGUGGAAGAGGAAUCGAGGAACUGGCUUGAACUGCCUGCAGAUGUCAUGUCGAUGAUUCUGCACAAGUUAGGUCCCGUUGAUAUCCUCACUAACGCUCAAGACGUUUGCUCUUCGUGGCGUAAGAUCUGCGAGGAUCCUCUAAUGUGGCGCGUCAUCGAUAUGCGGUAUUCCGGUGAUUGGUGGGACAUGGAUUACGAUUUGGAGGAGCUGUGCAGGCAGGCUGUUGGACGGAGUUGUGGUCAAUUGGUUGACAUUAACAUUGAGCAUUUUGGUACCGAUGAUUUGCUCCACUAUAUCACUCAGAGUUCAAAUCAACUUAGUAGACUCCGCCUUGUAUAUUGCAAUCGCAUCUCAGAUGAGGGAUUGAUUGAAGCAGUUUCAAGACUUCCAUUGUUGGAGGAUCUUGAGUUAUCUUUCUGUUCAUUUGACGUGGAAACUUUGGGAACUCUUGGUCAGAGUUGUCCUGGUCUGAAAUCACUGAAAUUGAACCGUCAAUUUUACAGACGGGUUGAAUGUGAUAAAGGAGCCCUUGCUAUUGCUGAAAAUAUGCCUAAUCUACGUCACCUUCAGAUAUUUGGCAACAGCCUAACAAACAGUGGAUUGGAAGCCAUUCUUGAUGGUUGUCCUGCUUUAGAAUCUCUUGAUUUACGCCAGUGUUUUAAUUUGAAUCUGGCAGGACAGUUGGGAACAAAAUGUUCUGGAAAGAUAAAAGAUUUGCGCGUGCCUCAUGAUCCCACUGAUGAUUAUGAAUUUUCAACUGAAAUUAUUGAUUAUGAUGAUGAUUAUGAUGACGAUUAUGGUUACCCUUUUGGUUUGUCUGACACCAAUUUGCUGACUGAUGAUGAUGAUUACUAUGAGUUCUCAGGGGGCAGCGAUUUCUCUGACUAUACAGAUUUGUAUUUUUAUUGAAGGUUCAGCUUUAGAAGCAUAGUGAGAAAACCAAACCGUGGCCCAAUAUUUACUUGCUGCCUCUCUUCCAAUGGUAGUUGGUUCAAGGAGCCUACCAUUCAACUGCAAGAAAAGAAGUUUGAGAGGCUCUCUUUCCAUAUUAAAACUUAUACAUUCCAAGAAUCAUGUCCCAUCAAGAGUUGCAUCCCGCCAAUAUUAAUGGUACUUUUUAGACUCAUCAGUCACCCAUACUCGAAAGUAGUGUUCCACUAGAAAGGGUAAAAUUGGAAUUUACUUAAAAGGUAGAGGCAAAAUAGGAAACAAAAAAUUCUCCUAUAUUGCCCCCAUUUAUAAAUAUUAGGGAAAGUGGUGGUGCAGGCUUUGAAAAGGGUGUGUAUAUCCUCGUUCUUCAUAGGCAACGGUUCCAACGGCAGAGGGUGUUGCCUCUUAUCGAUGGAGGUAGGAAGGUGGGAGGAAAGAUAAGGUUUAUCUCUCUUGCAACCCAUGGAUUCUCAGUGGAGCGGCGACGAAGAAUGGACAGCAUAAAUCCAUAGAGAAGAAAGAAGCAAGAGAAGGAGAAGAGUGAGGAAUUUUUAGGUUUAGAGAGAAGAAGAGAAGGGAGAAGUGUGACAAAGAUAGAAAAGUGAGAGGGUGACAUUUGAAUUAUAAAUUAUAAAGUUUUUCCGCCUUUCCAAGCUAUAAAAAAAAAAAGGGUAUUUCUUGUAGUGAUUCAAGAUACACAACUUUA
Non-coding RNA from Benincasa hispida (wax gourd), 1855 nucleotides. Lineage: Eukaryota; Viridiplantae; Streptophyta; Magnoliopsida; Cucurbitales; Cucurbitaceae. The record is from RefSeq and is a predicted model, not a curated record.